GACGAACGUUGGCGGCGUGCUUAAUACACGCAAGUCAACUGAAGCAGUGGUAGCAAUAUCGCUGUGGAGGUGGCGCACGGGUGAGUAACACGUAGGUAAUCUGCCUUCAGGUCUGGCAUAACUCCGGGAAACCGGGGCUAAUAGCAGAUGAUGCAGCGGCUCGACAUCGAGACAGUUGUUAAAGCUAUGGCGCCUGAAGAUGAGCCUGCGUCUGAUUAGCUAGUUGGCGGGGUAACGGCCCACCAAGGCAACGAUCAGUAGCUGGUCUGACAGGAUGAUCAGCCACACUGGAACUGAGACACGGUCCAGACUCCUACGGGAGGCAGCAGUAAGGAAUAUUGCUCAAUGGGAGAAAUCCUGAAGCAGCAACGCCGCGUGAGGGACGAAGGGCUUUUGCUUGUAAACCUCUGUAGUGAGAGAAAAAAAUCCCAAUCUUUGGGACAUGAUGGUAGCUCAAAAGUAAGCCCCGGCUAACUACGUG
RNAcentral lists this ribosomal RNA (481 nucleotides) under uncultured bacterium. RNAcentral's name for it is "partial 16S ribosomal RNA". It matches the Rfam family "Bacterial small subunit ribosomal RNA", at positions 28 to 507 of the family's 1533-position model. The record is from RNAcentral.